GACGAACGCUGGCGGCGUGCCUAAUACAUGCAAGUCGAACGAGAGCGACCGGUGCUUGCACUGGUCAAUCUAGUGGCGAACGGGUGAGUAACACGUGGGUAACCUGCCCAUCAGAGGGGGAUAACAUUCUGAAACGGAUGCUAAAACCGCAUAGGUCUUCGAACCGCAUGGUUUGAAGAGGAAAAGAGGCGCACGCUUCUGCUGAUGGAUGGACCCGCGGUGCAUUAGCUAGUUGGUGAGGUAACGGCUCACCAAGGCCGUGAUGCAUAGCCGACCUGAGAGGGUGAUCGGCCACAUUGGGACUGAGACACGGCCCAAACUCCUACGGGAGGCAGCAGUAGGGAAUCUUCCGCAAAGGACGCAAGUCUGACGGAGCAACGCCGCGUGAGUGAAGAAGGUUUUCGGAUCGUAAAACUCUGUUGUUAGAGAAGAAUAAGUGCUAGAGUAACUGUUAGCGCCUUGACGGUAUCUAACCAGAAAGCCACGGCUAACUACGUG
Molecule: ribosomal RNA, 498 nt
Filed under: uncultured bacterium
Lineage: Bacteria
Description: partial 16S ribosomal RNA
Rfam family: Bacterial small subunit ribosomal RNA
Source: RNAcentral